RNAcentral lists this ribosomal RNA (468 nucleotides) under uncultured bacterium. Its description in RNAcentral is "partial 16S ribosomal RNA". It matches the Rfam family "Bacterial small subunit ribosomal RNA", at positions 28 to 507 of the family's 1533-position model. The record is from RNAcentral.
GACGAACGCUGGCGGCGUGCUUAACACAUGCAAGUCGAACGGAAAGGCCCUGCUUUUGUGGGUUGCUCGAGUGGCGAACGGGUGAGUAACACGUGAGUAACCUGCCCUUGACUUUGGGAUAACUUCAGGAAACUGGGGCUAAUACCGGAUAGGAGCUCCUGCUGCAUGGUGGGGGUUGGAAAGUUUCGGCGGUUGGGGAUGGACUCGCGGGUUAUCCGCUUGUUGGUGGGGUAGUGGCUUACCAAGGCUUUGACGGGUAGCCGGCCUGAGAGGGGGACCGGCGACAUGGGGACUGAGAUACGGACCAGAAUCCUACGGGAGGCAGUAGUGGGGAAUAUGACACAAUGGGCGGAAGCCUGAGGCAGCAACGCCGCGUGCGGGAUGACGGCCUUCGGGUGGUAAACCGAUUUGGCCUGUGACGAAGCGUGAGUGACGGUAAUGGGUAAAGAAGCACCGGCUAACUACGUG